GACGAACGCUGGCGGCGUGCUUAGCACAUGCAAGUCGAACGGAAAGGCCCUGCUUUUGUGGGGUGCUCGAGUGGCGAACGGGUGAGUAACACGUGAGUAACCUGCCCUUGACUUUGGGAUAACUUCAGGAAACUGGGGCUAAUACCGGAAAGGAGCUCCUGCUGCAUGGUGGGGGUUGGAAAGUUUCGGCGGUUGGGGAUGGACUCGCGGCUUAUCAGCUUGUUGGUGGGGUAGUGGCUUACCAAGGCUUUGACGGGUAGCCGGCCUGAGAGGGUGACCGGCCACAUUGGGACUGAGAUACGGCCCAGACUCCUACGGGAGGCAGCAGUGGGGAAUAUUGCACAAUGGGCGGAAGCCUGAUGCAGCAACGCCGCGUGCGGGAUGACGGCCUUCGGGUUGUAAACCGCUUUCGCCUGUGACGAAGCGUGAGUGACGGUAAUGGGUAAAGAAGCACCGGCUAACUACGUG
This 468-nucleotide ribosomal RNA is filed under the name uncultured bacterium. RNAcentral's name for it is "partial 16S ribosomal RNA". It matches the Rfam family "Bacterial small subunit ribosomal RNA", at positions 28 to 507 of the family's 1533-position model. The record is from RNAcentral.